Molecule: ribosomal RNA, 265 nt
Filed under: uncultured prokaryote
Description: partial 16S ribosomal RNA
Rfam family: Bacterial small subunit ribosomal RNA
Source: RNAcentral
UACGUAGGUGGCGAGCGUUGUCCGGAUUUACUGGGCGUAAAGGGAGCGUAGGCGGACUUUUAAGUGAGAUGUGAAAUACCCGGGCUCAACUUGGGUGCUGCAUUUCAAACUGGAAGUCUAGAGUGCAGGAGAGGAGAAUGGAAUUCCUAGUGUAGCGGUGAAAUGCGUAGAUAUUAGGAGGAACACCAGUGGCGAAGGCGACUUUCUGGACUGUAACUGACGCUGAGGCGCGAGAGCGUGGGGAGCAAACAGGAUUAGAUACCCU